This 3560-nucleotide small RNA is filed under the name Rattus norvegicus (Norway rat). RNAcentral's name for it is "uncharacterized LOC100910809". The record is from RNAcentral. Lineage: Eukaryota; Metazoa; Chordata; Mammalia; Rodentia; Muridae.
UCUAAACUGUAGAUAGAUAGAGAGCAAUACAUUUACUGGUCAGGUGGAUAACACAUCCGUUUAAAAUAACAGUAAUAGGUUCACCUCUGGGGCCUGGGAACUUCCCAAUCAUGGAUCUUUGCCCAGACUUACAGCACCACAAAUGUGUUUCCUCGUGGGGAGUGGACCUUAAAUCCAAUCAGAAAACUGUCAGAACCUUCUGCCCCUAUAAUACCUGUGCCAUUACAAAGCCACGGGCAGUAUCUUGGGCUUACAGCUAGAUAAGACUGUUGAUGAGGUCCCCUGUCUCCUAUCCCUACAUAGUACCAUCCAAUACUAUGAAAGCUACUACCAAUGAGGAAGCCCCUCAGUUAAUACCAACUCCAUUACUCUGUGUCCUGUGACAAAUGUGUGUGGUGUUUUCAUCUUAAGCUGGUUUUAGGUCUUACCCUAAAACUCUGAUGGAUAGCCAAGAGCCAAGGACAGCAACCUGUCUGAGUGAAAAAAGAAAUAAAAGGAAGAACAUGGCUCUCCCAAGGUGCGGUGGGGAAGAACGCUCAUUGUGGAUAAAAGGGAGAGCAUAGAGAGAGGCAGAGGCAUCUGGGAGAGGCCAGAGUGGUUUUAUCUACACUGAGCUGGGCCUUGUGGGGAGACAGGGGGAGGGAGAGCAAGAGAGGAGCCGCUGACCAAGAGCGGCGGCCUGGGCCAAGAGAUUGGUCAAGAGAACAAAGGGUAGACCAAAAGGAACAGGUAACCAAAAUGGCUGGAUUAUACAGGGGACAGAGGAGCCAGGGGAGGGGAGCCCAGGCCUUGGGCUGGAGAAUUUUAGGGUAGGGCCCAGAGUGUGACAACUGUACUCUGUAACAGGUAGGGACUGAGGGAUGCUGGGAGAGCCUGGUGUCAGUGUCUGCUUUGCUGUUAAUGGGUACCUCAGUUAACAGUUUGUUCUGGAUUUGAGACCUGACAGUAUCUUCUUUGGGGAUCUGUGUCUUCAAGAUAACUUUGACUAAUAACUCAGGGGUGUCAUCCAACCCCUGGUAAUAGGCUUUUUAUUUUUUUUCUGGGAGAGGCAUAAUCCUCUGUGAGGGGUAGUUCCAACUGUGUUCUAUUACAUUAAUAUGCACAUUCAUAUAAACAUCUACACUGCAUUUAUAUUAAUAUGUUUACAUAUUAAUAUUUUAAUAUUCAGACAUUGUGAGUAUCAGUCAUUCCAUGCUCACACAUUUUAGUUAGGACUGGACUUGGGGGCCAUUCCAAGCGACCAUUUGUUAAGUAAUCUGAUUCUCGAUGUCUGCCCUUGGUCCUUCCCCCGCCAUGAACAGGAGGGCAACAUUGCAUCAUGGUUCUCCCUGGCACGGACAGCACACCAAGUGUUCCCUAUAUUUAGCCAACAUGAAGUCAUUGCAGCCCGACGCCUGCCCCGUGCAAUCUCUGCUUUGUUUCGCAGCUCACGUGACUGAUGCCCUGACUUUGUACGUGACCUAUGUCCUUACACGGAUUGAAAGGGGCUGAAAAUCUCGCUAGGAAAGCUGUGCUUGAUACAAAGAGAAGGCUUGCCAUCGGGUCUGGAUACUGACACGAUCUGAAUAGAAACCAAGAGGAAAUCCAUGAAUUUUAAUGGCCUUAGUGGUCACUCAGGUCAAGGGCUUUCCAAACCAUUCCCUACACACACCCAAAGACCCAGGAGCAGCCAUCGUGGGCAUCCUCGCCACAGGAGCAGCCAACCAUGCUCAUCUUUGCGUCUGUUUCAGUAUUUAUCAGCAGUACUGGCACAGGGGUGCUUGUUCUGAGGAUGAGCCCACGGUGACUUCCGGGAGGAGCUGGUGACUCAUGAGUUCAGCCUGGAUCAGCAGUAGCUGAGCUGUGACCUCCAGUUUAACCUUCCGUAAGGAGUGACACGCCCCCUUGCCAGGGACACAGAAUGAAUCCUGAGAUUUUGGCCUUGAAACUGGAAUUACAAUGAGUUCUUUGAUUUACCUGAUACGGGUGCUUAAAAUUGAACCCUGGUCCUCUGGGAGAGCAAUUAGACACACUUCACUUCUAGGCCACCUCUCCAGCCCCUGUUUGGAGUUUUUAAUUGGUAUCUCUCCUCCUGCCUGAAUUCUCCAUCAGACACUGCUUCAGGAGAAUUAUGCAUGGCCACACUUGACCGGCUUUCGAAGGGCCUCCUCAGUAGAAGAUUGUGUAUUUCGCUUGCCCACACACACACUGGAUGAUCUGAGGCUAGGAGUGUCUUCUGUUUUAGCCUGGGCUGACCUGGGCCUUGAGCACCAAACCCUCAGAGAUGGGACAAACUUUCUUUCUGGUUCCUUUGCAAGAAUGGAACCCCUUGGAAUCGGCCUGCGUAUGACCGUGAGCUUGGAGUCCUGCCCGUGUCAGGUCACCGCAGACCUUCAUGCUCACCGGCAGGGAAAGCAUAGAUGCUUCUUGUCGUCAGCCACUGAGACUUUGAGGUGGUUGGUAACACUCCAAGCAAACAGACUAAUCCGAAAGUAAGGCCCGUCUUGUUUUUGUUUUUAUUAAGUUAACAUUCACUCUUCAUCUUCGUUUUGUGGAUGGUCUUCUUGAGGGAAAUAGUAAUGUGUCUCUGACCUUUUCCCAUCCUCAGCACGUUUCUGGGGCAUCUCCCAGCAUGCCAGUUGCGUAAUGCAAAAAGCUGGGCAGCCUCUUUCUCACAUCUGCCUGACAGGAAAAUAAAUUAGAACCACGAUACUCCCUCCCCUGCCAAAGUCCCAGGGAAGCCCUGAGGCUGCACAGAAAAUUGGGUGGCCUUUGUCACGAGCCAAGCCAGACCACUAGCUCCAUGUAGAAUCUGAGAAUUUUAAAGAUUUUUUUUUUAAUCAAGAUUGCCCCUCAGUGAAGACCCUGUUCCCACACAAUUGAGCUCAAACGUUUUUUUUUAAACUAGCAAACAAUUCAUGCGACAUUGUCCACACUGCCCUCCAGGUGGCAGUAGAGAACCGCUGCCUGCCCAGCACACUGACGUCACCUUGUUUACCCGGUUUCGGGUCAUUUUUAGAUCUAAGAUCACAGGAUGUUAAUCAGGCCAAUGAUUUCCCAUUCGUUUGGCCAAAGGCCCUUGUCAUGGGCAUUGGGACAAGUAUGAUGUCCUUUUAGAUAAAGACAUUUUUGCUGCGGGAAGUACUUAUUUGAAAACAUUUGUAAUUUCAUCUUUAGGAGAUGGGAAAAUUGUGCAUGGAUCUGUACUGUGGCCAUUUGGGGUCACUUUCAUUUUGGAGCUGGAAUGUGAGUGGCCUUAACUGAAGAGAGGCAGAAAACUACAUAUUACAAUAGCGUGCCUUCUCAGAGACGCAGGCGUCUUUCUGCUUCAGUCUUCCCCUUUAUUUAUAUAGGAUUCAGCAAGAAAGCAUUUAGGUUUUGAAGUUUGGAGGGAAAGGAGUAAGAGCUAAUUUAGUCUAGCUGUCUCCUGAUUCCUGAUUCUCCUGAUGCCACCCUGGAGUUUAGGUGUCAGGAGGUCCCUGCAGGCCGCACCCAGGAGCCUCAGACUGUCCGUUUCCAACAAUGUGGCUGAGAGUUUCUCUGUGACUGUUAAAGAAGCAAAAUAAACAAAAUUCCUCAGA